UUCAUCACUUAGUGAUUAGAAUGUGCCUGGAUAGUUUGAAAUGUGCAAUGAGUUUUGGUAGUUAUAAUGUUUGCCUACAUAAUAAAUGUUGUUACUCUGUUUCUUUCUUCUCCUCCUUUUUUUUCUAUUUAUUUGUUUGUGUGCUUGAUAUGUUAACAACAUGACAAUAUUUUUAUCGUCUCUAUGUUUCAGAUCCAAAGACUGAAAAGUUUUCUAAAUCU
This 221-nucleotide long non-coding RNA is filed under the name Panax ginseng (ginseng). RNAcentral's name for it is "long non-coding RNA (PGIN_LNC000163)". The record is from RNAcentral. Lineage: Eukaryota; Viridiplantae; Streptophyta; Magnoliopsida; Apiales; Araliaceae.